RNAcentral lists this ribosomal RNA (253 nucleotides) under uncultured bacterium. RNAcentral's name for it is "partial 16S ribosomal RNA". It matches the Rfam family "Bacterial small subunit ribosomal RNA", at positions 524 to 776 of the family's 1533-position model. The record is from RNAcentral.
UACGUAGGUCCCGAGCGCUGUCCGGAUUUAUUGGGUUUAAAGGGUGCGUAGGCGGAUUGAUAAGUUAGAGGUGAAAUGUCCGAGCUCAACUCGGGAACUGCCUCUAAUACUGUUGAUCUAGAGAGUAGAUGCGGUAGGCGGAAUGUAUGGUGUAGCGGUGAAAUGCUUAGAGAUCAUACAGAACACCGAUUGCGAAGGCAGCUUACCAAUCUAUAUCUGACGUUGAGGCACGAAAGCGUGGGGAGCAAACAGG